UACAGAGGGGGCAAGCGUUGUUCGGAAUUACUGGGCGUAAAGGGCGCGUAGGCGGCCUGUUAAGUCGAACGUGAAAUCCCCGGGCUCAACCCGGGAACUGCGUCCGAUACUGGCAGGCUUGAAUUCGGGAGAGGGAUGUGGAAUUCCAGGUGUAGCGGUGAAAUGCGUAGAUAUCUGGAGGAACACCGGUGGCGAAGGCGGCAUCCUGGACCGACAUUGACGCUGAUGCGCGAAAGCCAGGGGAGCAAACGGG
This 253-nucleotide ribosomal RNA is filed under the name uncultured bacterium. RNAcentral's name for it is "partial 16S ribosomal RNA". It matches the Rfam family "Bacterial small subunit ribosomal RNA", at positions 524 to 776 of the family's 1533-position model. The record is from RNAcentral.